UACGAACCGUGCGAACGUUGUUCGGAAUCACUGGGCUUAAAGGGCGCGUAGGCGGGUUCUCAAGUCAGGGGUGAAAGCCCACGGCUCAACCGUGGAAGUGCCUCUGAUACUGGGGACCUCGAGGGAGGUAGGGGCGUGCGGAACUUCCGGUGGAGCGGUGAAAUGCGUAGAUAUCGGAAGGAACACCGGUGGCGAAAGCGGCGCGCUGGACCUCUUCUGACGCUGAGGCGCGAAAGCCAGGGGAGCAAACGGG
RNAcentral lists this ribosomal RNA (253 nucleotides) under uncultured bacterium. RNAcentral's name for it is "partial 16S ribosomal RNA". It matches the Rfam family "Bacterial small subunit ribosomal RNA", at positions 524 to 776 of the family's 1533-position model. The record is from RNAcentral.